GUGCUCACUUUGGCAGCACAUACACUAAAACUGGAAUAAUAUAGAGAAGAUUAGCAUGGGCCCUGUGCAAAUUUGCGAAGCAUUCCAUAUUUUU
This 94-nucleotide small nuclear RNA is filed under the name Sorex araneus (European shrew). Lineage: Eukaryota; Metazoa; Chordata; Mammalia; Eulipotyphla; Soricidae. The record is from RNAcentral.